UGCUUAAGACAUGCAAGUCGAACGAAGCUCUUGUAGCAAUACGAGAGUUGAGUGGCGAAUGGGUGCGUAACACGUAGGUGACCUGCCCUGAAGCGGGGAAUAACAGUUCGAAAGGACUGCUAAUACCGCAUGUGGUUCUCGCCUUUUGAAAACGGGAACGAAAGGUCGCCGUAAGGCGAUCACUUCAGGAGGGGCCUGCGGCCCAUCAGCUAGUUGGUAGGGUAAUGGCCUACCAAGGCAACGACGGGUAGGGGACCUCAGAGGGUGACCCCCCACACUGGCACUGACACACGGGCCAGACUCCUACGGGAGGCAGCAGUCGGGAAUAUUGCCCAAUGGCCGAAAGGCUGAGGCAGCAACGCUGCGUGCGCGAUGAAGGCCUUCGGGUCGUAAAGCGCUUUUCGGGUGGAUGAGCAAGGACAGUACACCCGGAAUAAGGUACGGCUAACUACGUGCCAGCAGCCGCGGUAAAACGUAGGUACCGAGCGUUAUCCGGAUUUACUGGGCGUAAAGCGCGUUUAGGCGGUUCGUUAAGUUCGUUGUGAAAGCCCCGGGCUCAACCUGGGAAUGGCAAUGGAAACUGGCGGGCUUGAGUAUGGCAGAGGGGGGUGGAAUUCCGCGUGUAGCAGUGAAAUGCGUAGAGAUGCGGAGGAACACCGAUGGCGAAGGCAGCCCCCUGGGCCAAUACUGACGCUCAGGAGCGAAAGCAUG
RNAcentral lists this ribosomal RNA (711 nucleotides) under uncultured soil bacterium. RNAcentral describes it as "bacterial SSU rRNA". It matches the Rfam family "Bacterial small subunit ribosomal RNA", at positions 45 to 763 of the family's 1533-position model. The record is from RNAcentral.